AGAGUUUAAUCAUGGCUCAGGACGAACGCUGGCGGCGUGCUUAACACAUGCAAGUCGAGCGGAAAGGCCCUUCGGGGUACUCGAGCGGCGAACGGGUGAGUAACACGUGAGUAACCUGCCCUCCACUCUGGGAUAAGCCCGGGAAACUGGGUCUAAUACCGGAUAUGACUCCCCGUCUCAUGGCGGGGGGUGGAAAGUUUUUUCGGUGGGGGAUGGACUCGCGGCCUAUCAGCUUGUUGGUGAGGUAAUGGCUUACCAAGGCGACGACGGGUAGCCGGCCUGAGAGGGCGACCGGCCACACUGGGACUGAGACACGGCCCAGACUCCUACGGGAGGCAGCAGUGGGGAAUAUUGCACAAUGGGGGAAACCCUGAUGCAGCGACGCCGCGUGCGGGAUGAAGGCCUUCGGGUUGUAAACCGCUUUCAGCAGGGACGAAAUUGACGGUACCUGCAGAAGAAGCACCGGCUAACUACGUGCCAGCAGCCGCGGUA
This 492-nucleotide ribosomal RNA is filed under the name uncultured Actinomycetes bacterium. RNAcentral describes it as "bacterial SSU rRNA". It matches the Rfam family "Bacterial small subunit ribosomal RNA", at positions 8 to 522 of the family's 1533-position model. Lineage: Bacteria; Bacillati; Actinomycetota; Actinomycetes. The record is from RNAcentral.